Pipistrellus kuhlii (Kuhl's pipistrelle) is the source of this 2879-nucleotide RNA transcript. It is a transcript of the gene named serine and arginine rich splicing factor 2, with no coding region annotated. The record is from RefSeq and is a predicted model, not a curated record. The transcript has 3 exons. NCBI's taxonomy places the organism in Eukaryota, Metazoa, Chordata, Mammalia, Chiroptera, Vespertilionidae.
ACUCGCCCAGUUGCUUCUGUGCUUCGAUAGGCGGCAGCUCGGUCCGUCUGUCGGCCGUUCUCAGAAACGUUUCCACGCGGAAGCCAGUGGCCGGAGGAGAGGCGCGGCGUGGAGCUGAGCUAGUCUGAGGAAGCCGCCGCCGCCCCUGCGGAACGCGCGGGCCCGCCCAGGGCGUUCGUUUCUCGGCGCGCAGUCGCAGGGCCUGGCCGACGCUCCAGAGCCAUGAGUUACGGCCGCCCGCCUCCCGAUGUGGAGGGCAUGACCUCCCUCAAGGUGGACAACCUGACCUACCGCACCUCUCCCGACACCCUGAGGCGCGUCUUCGAGAAGUACGGGCGCGUCGGCGACGUGUACAUCCCGCGGGACCGCUACACCAAGGAGUCCCGCGGCUUCGCCUUCGUCCGCUUCCACGACAAGCGCGACGCCGAAGACGCCAUGGACGCCAUGGACGGGGCCGUGCUGGACGGCCGCGAGCUGCGCGUGCAGAUGGCGCGGUACGGCCGGCCGCCGGACUCGCACCACAGCCGCCGGGGACCGCCACCCCGCAGGUACGGGGGUGGUGGCUACGGACGCCGGAGCCGCAGCCCCAGGCGGCGCCGCCGCAGCCGAUCCCGGAGUCGGAGCCGGUCCCGGUCUCGCAGCCGAUCCCGCUACAGCCGCUCCAAGUCUCGGUCCCGCACUCGCUCGAGGUCGCGGUCCACCUCCAAGUCCAGGUCGGCGAGAAGAUCCAAGUCCAAGUCGUCGUCCGUGUCCAGAUCCCGCUCGCGGUCCCGGUCCAGGUCGCGGUCCAGGAGUCCCCCGCCCGUGUCCAAGAGGGAGUCCAAGUCCAGGUCGCGGUCCAAGAGCCCCCCCAAGUCUCCGGAAGAGGAGGGAGCCGUGUCCUCUUAAGCAAACGGUAAUGCCCACGGGGUCCGCGGCGCAUGGCGCGGCUGGGGGGUGUGAGUAGGGGAGGGGUCUGCAGGAAGGAUGUGUGUGAGCUUAGAUGAUGGUGGCUGUUUCGUAAACUGUUUGAGACCUAUUGAUGAAAAUGACUAUUUCUUGCUGUUUUUAUCCAACGUCUGCAUUUUCCCCUUUAAAGCUGCGGUCUCCUGUUUGAUAAAAGAAUAUUGGCCAGUAUUGCAGAUUUUAACUGAUUUGGCUGAUCCUCCAGGGACCAGUUUCUGUGGGCGUGUAUUGGAGCAGGUUUGUCUUUAAAUGUUAAAGAUGCACUAUCCUCGUAGAGAAAGCUAUCAGCUCAACUCUUGUUGUGCUGACUGGGACUCACUAUUCUAGUGGAUGUGGCAAACGAAUUGCAAAAAGCAGCAAUGAACUUUUGGAACCCAAAAAGAAAGUUUACAGGUAUUUCGCUGGGUGGGGAAAGGAUAGUGUGUCUUUAACUCUCCAAUUGUUUGGUCCUAUUUUUUAAAAGGAAGGGCCCUAAGUAGCUCAGAUAUUAAAGCCUUAUUCUCAUUGCCAAAUGUUUUGUUUGAAAACUCAAUUUAUCUCAAAAUAUAGGUUACUUUUCUGAUUUCAUUUUGUUUGGAUACAGGGCCCCCCCCCCAACUUUCUCCUUUUCUUUUCUCCCCCCCCCUCCCCUUUAACGAUUUUUCACCUUGGUUAUUUGGCCAAGAACACACAAAUUUGUAAAUGCUAAUGUGAGAAUUUACUAAUUUGGGCCUUAAAAAAUUUGAGAGAAUGGCUGGGUGGAACCUUUCUGUAACCUACUUGUUUCACCAGAGCCUUAGUGAGUACAUGCCUGAAAUUGAAACCAUGUGUGCUUUGGACUUCACAGUAGUGGAAGGAAAACUGAACUUAAUUUCUUUUCAAACCUAGAUGUGUCGACAAGCAACAUAACAGAAAACCUGGAGGAAAAGGACUACAUGCUCAGUCCAUCAAAGAGUCCUGCCUUGGAACAAGCAACUGGCUAUUGAAAAGGUUAUUUUGUAACAUUUGUCUAACUUUUUACUUGUUUUAAGCUUUGCCUCAGGUGGCAAAAUUCAUUUUAUGUGCCAUUUUGUUGCUGUUAUUCAAAUUUCUUGUAAUUUAGUAAGGUGAACGACUUCAGAUUUCAUUAUUGGCUUGGAUAUUUGAGGUAAAAUUUCCUUUUUGUUUAUAUAGUGCUGACUUUUUUUGUUUGAAAUUAAACAGAUUGGUAACCUAAUUUGUGGCCUCCUGACUUUUAAGGAAACGUGCAGCCAUUACGCACAGCCUAAAGCUGUCAAGAGAUUGACUCAGCAUUGCCUUCAUUCCUUAGAAUUAAAAACCUACAAAAGUUGGUGUAAAUUUGUGCAUGUUAUUUACCUUCAGAUCUAAAUGGUAAUCUGAACCUAAACUUGUAUAAAGACUUUUCAGGUGAAAAGACUUGAUUUUUUGAAAGGAUUGUUUACCAAACACAAUUCUAAUCUCUUCUCUUAUGUAUUUUUGUGCACUAGGCGCAGUUGUGUAGCAGUUGAGUAAUGCUGGUUAGCUGUUAAGGUGGCGUGUUGCAGUGCAGAGUGCUUGGCUGUUUCCUGUUUUCUCCCGAUUGCUCCUGUGUAAAGAUGCCUUGUCGUGCAGAAACAAAUGGCUGUCCAGUUUAUUAAAAUGCCUGACAACUGCACUUCCAGUCACCCGGGCCUUGCAUUAGAUAACGGAGCAUACAGUGAGCACAUCUAGCUGAUGAUAAAUACACCAUUUUUUUUUUUUCUACCCCUCACUCCACCAAAUGGUAAAAAUGAUCACCUUCAUGUAUGAACUUGAAAUAUGAAAAAUGUUAAGGAAGCAAAUGGUUUGUAACUUUGUAAGUACUUAAAACAUGGUGUAUCUUUUUUUUUUUUUUUUGCUCAUAAAUAUUCUGUACUAUAACCGUUGUUUCUAUAGUUUAAUUAAAAAUGUUUUCUUGGUGUUAGCUUUUCUCAGAA